This 248-nucleotide ribosomal RNA is filed under the name uncultured bacterium. Its description in RNAcentral is "partial 16S ribosomal RNA". It matches the Rfam family "Archaeal small subunit ribosomal RNA", at positions 473 to 720 of the family's 1478-position model. The record is from RNAcentral.
ACACCGGCAGCUCAAGUGGUGGCCAUUUUUAUUGGGCCUAAAGCGUUCGUAGCCGGCUUGAUAAGUCUCUGGUGAAAUCCCAUAGCUUAACUGUGGGAAUUGCUGGAGAUACUAUUAGGCUUGAGGCCGGGAGAGGUUAGGGGUACUCCCAGGGUAGGGGUGAAAUCCUAUAAUCCUGGGAGGACCACCUGUGGCGAAGGCGACUACCUGGACCGAUACUGACACUGAGGAGCGAAAGCGUGGGGAGC